CCCGGCGACCGGCGCACGGGUGAGUAACACGUAUGCAACCUGGCCGCCACAGGGGGAUAACCCGCGGAAACGCGGCCUAAUACCCCGUGACGCCACCGGAGGGCAUCCUCCGGGUGGCCAAAGGAGCGAUCCGGUGGCGGAUGGGCAUGCGGCGCAUUAGCUAGACGGCGGGGUGACGGCCCACCGUGGCGACGAUGCGUAGGGGUUCUGAGAGGAAGGCCCCCCCACACUGGGACUGAGACACGGCCCAGACUCCUACGGGAGGCAGCAG
RNAcentral lists this ribosomal RNA (271 nucleotides) under uncultured bacterium. RNAcentral's name for it is "partial 16S ribosomal RNA". It matches the Rfam family "Bacterial small subunit ribosomal RNA", at positions 87 to 354 of the family's 1533-position model. The record is from RNAcentral.